This is a small RNA of Pseudomonas fluorescens HK44, 133 nucleotides long. The record is from Rfam. Lineage: Bacteria; Pseudomonadati; Pseudomonadota; Gammaproteobacteria; Pseudomonadales; Pseudomonadaceae.
UGUGUCGACGGAUAGACACAGCCAUCAAGGAUGAUGGUCAAGGAACAUCGCAGGGACGUGAUUCAUCAGGACGAUGAAAAGGAACACAGGGAAUAGGGAAAAAAUGUGGGCGGGUCAUACCGCCCCUUUUUUU